GGCUGGUCCAAAGGUAGCGAGUUAUCUCACUUGGUCAUUCACAGUCAGUGACAGAUUGGACUCCUCGUUCCACUACUUUCUCCCCUUCUCACUACUGCGCUUGACUAGUCUAAG
Molecule: Y RNA, 114 nt
Filed under: Microcebus murinus (gray mouse lemur)
Lineage: Eukaryota; Metazoa; Chordata; Mammalia; Primates; Cheirogaleidae
Description: Y RNA (ENSMICG00000048111.1)
Rfam family: Y RNA
About the family: Y RNAs are components of the Ro ribonucleoprotein particle (Ro RNP), in association with Ro60 and La proteins. The Y RNAs and Ro60 and La proteins are well conserved, but the function of the Ro RNP is not known.
Source: Rfam by way of RNAcentral